Molecule: long non-coding RNA, 544 nt
Organism: Pyrus x bretschneideri (Chinese white pear)
Lineage: Eukaryota; Viridiplantae; Streptophyta; Magnoliopsida; Rosales; Rosaceae
Exons: 6
Source: RefSeq, a predicted model, not a curated record
AGACGUGUCUGUAUUUUUACACCUGGUUGGGAGAUAUCUGUCGGAGUAAAAACUACUGAUCUAAGCCAACUGAUUCUCAAAGAGUGGAAAAAGAAGAAGCAUGAGCAGUGGCGCAUGAAAAAGGCUGUGGAAGAAUUAAAACCUUCAACAACUCCUUAGAUCAUACGUAUUUGGAAUAAAGUCCAACAAAUAAGAAAAAAGAUUAACAGUGGCCAAACAACUUUUCUAAAUACGUUUUACAAGCAUCACACCCGUCUCAAAGUACAAAGGUUGAAGUACAAGAUUAAGUAUUCUACAAGUAACUGGAGUAAAAGUAUUGCCAUGAGAAAAUUGUCAAACUUAAAGAUUAACCAUGAAAAUCUAAAGCAUCAAGUGCAAGCAAAUGGGUGGCAAGCAUGGCUUUGAUUUCACACGUAGGCGCUAUGUUUACAUAUGUACAUGUUGUCCAUAUUUUGCUUUGCUUAAUAUAUUAGGAGUUCAUCCCUAGCUAGCCUAUAACUUUGAUUGAAAACUUAUGAAUCUGAAACAUUUUGAUUUAAGGACA